AGUGAACGCUGGCGGUAGGCCUAACACAUGCAAGUCGAACGGCAGCACAGUAAGAGCUUGCUCUUACGGGUGGCGAGUGGCGGACGGGUGAGGCAUACAUCGGAAUCUACUUUUUCGUGGGGGAUAAUGUAGGGAAACUUACGCUAAUACCGCAUACGAUCUACGGGUGAAAGCAGAGGAUCUUCGGACCUUUCGCGUUUGAAUGAGCCGGCGCUGCAGUAGCUAGUUGGUGAGGUAAAGGCCUACCAAGGCAACGAUGCAUAGCCGACCUGAGAGGGUGAUAGGCCACACUGGAACUGAGACACGGUCCAGACUCCUACGGGAGGCAGCAGCAGGGAAUCUUCCGCAAUGGGCGAAAGCCUGACGGAGCAACGCCGCGUGAGUGAUGAAGGUCUUCGGAUCGUAAAACUCUGUUAUUAGGGAAGAACAUAUGUGUAAGUAACUGUGCACAUCUUGACGGUACCUAAUCAGAAAGCCACGGCUAACUACGUG
This 492-nucleotide ribosomal RNA is filed under the name uncultured bacterium. RNAcentral describes it as "partial 16S ribosomal RNA". It matches the Rfam family "Bacterial small subunit ribosomal RNA", at positions 29 to 507 of the family's 1533-position model. The record is from RNAcentral.